Non-coding RNA from Drosophila suzukii, 882 nucleotides. Lineage: Eukaryota; Metazoa; Arthropoda; Insecta; Diptera; Drosophilidae. The record is from RefSeq and is a predicted model, not a curated record.
UCAAUAGAUUUAUAAUAAUGUAUACAAGUACUUUUAAGUCCAUUCUUCAGACAUUUGUGAGUUAGAAAUGUUGGAGUCCAAUACUAGAUCCGCCCGGUAAAGAAAACAAUCUACUACUGUCAAAUUAUGUCGCCCGUUCUCGAUCUGAGCGCGACUUCCUCACACUCUUCAAGGCGUGCCAUUGUCGCAGCUCCAGCUCAUAAAAAACAAUAACUAGCUGUGUGUGUGGGUUUGAAUAAAAAAUGUAUGCGUUAGCUCUGUUGGCUGACAGGAGACAGGACAUGGACAUGUGUCCUUUAUAACAACUGACAGAAGCAUUCCGUUUGGGGAAAAAAAUCCCUGCAUUUUAUGCCUAGCUUAAGUUGCCCAACAAAUUUUCAUGAGCCCACCGCAAACUUCUUCUGCAAGUGGUCUUCGCACAUUCUAAAUUAUUGGCAGGGUUUCUUGGUUGGAGUUUAACACGUCUUGUGCAGUUCAUAUAAAAUUGAAUGCGUGAGCUUUACAGAAUAGUCGAAUAAUUGCCAAUUUACUGGAUUCACUUUUAUGGUACGGAAUAGCAAACGUUUGCUACAAAUAGGACCUAUGAAUUUUUGCACAGCUCAGCCUACAAAAUAAAUUCCAUGCGGUAUCAACGCUUUAUGCAAUCCUCUUAACCCUAGGCAUGGCAUUCUUCUUGGAAAAGAAAUAGUCCAGAUUUAAAGAAUCCGGUUUUAGAGACUCCAGUUUCAAAAGAAGAUGCCGCAACAUUUGCGUAUCCUUUGUCUAUAUUUCUGUUCCUUCGGUGAUUAUAAAUUGGUUACCUGCUUCAAGGAGUCGGCAAGAACAAUCGUUAUCAACCCCUUAUAUGAAAUUACUGCGAACAAUGUCUAAAGAAAAGUCCAA